CGGGGGAACUGAAACAUCUAAGUACCCCGAGGAAAAGAAAUCAACCGAGAUUCCCCCAGUAGCGGCGAGCGAACGGGGAGCAGCCCAGAGUCUGAAUCAGCUUGUGUGUUAGUGGAACGGUCUGGAAAGUCCGACGGUACAGGGUGAUAGUCCCGUACACCAAAAUGCACAGGCUGUGAACUCGAAGAGUAGGGCGGGACACGUGGUAUCCUGUCUGAAUAUGGGGGGACCAUCCUCCAAGGCUAAAUACUCCUGACUGACCGAUAGUGAACCAGUACCGUGAGGGAAAGGCGAAAAGAACCCCGGCGAGGGGAGUGAAAAAGAACCUGAAACCGUGUACGUACAAGCAGUGGGAGCACCUUCGGGUGUGACUGCGUACCUUUUGUAUAAUGGGUCAGCGACUUAUAUUCUGUAGCAAGGUUAACCGUAUAGGGGAGCCGCAGGGAAACCGAGUCUUAACUGGGCGUUAAGUUGCAGGGUAUAGACCCGAAACCCGGUGAUCUAGCCAUGGGCAGGUUGAAGGUUGGGUAACACUAACUGGAGGACCGAACCGACUAAUGUUGAAAAAUUAGCGGAUGACUUGUGGCUGGGGGUGAAAGGCCAAUCAAACCGGGAGAUAGCUGGUUCUCCCCGAAAGCUAUUUAGGUAGCGCCUCGUGAACUCAUCUUCGGGGGUAGAGCACUGUUUCGGCUAGGGGGUCAUCCCGACUUACCAACCCGAUGCAAACUACGAAUACCGAAGAAUGUUAUCACGGGAGACACACGGCGGGUGCUAACGUCCGUCGUGAAGAGGGAAACAACCCAGACCGCCAGCUAAGGUCCCAAAGUCAUGGUUAAGUGGGAAACGAUGUGGGAAGGCACAGACAGCCAGGAUGUUGGCUUAGAAGCAGCCAUCAUUUAAAGAAAGCGUAAUAGCUCACUGGUCGAGUCGGCCUGCGCGGAAGAUGUAACGGGGCUAAACCAUGCACCGAAGCUGCGGCAGCGACACUAUGUGUUGUUGGGUAGGGGAGCGUUCUGUAAGCCUGCGAAGGUGUGCUGUGAGGCAUGCUGGAGGUAUCAGAAGUGCGAAUGCUGACAUAAGUAACGAUAAAGCGGGUGAAAAGCCCGCUCGCCGGAAGACCAAGGGUUCCUGUCCAACGUUAAUCGGGGCAGGGUGAGUCGACCCCUAAGGCGAGGCCGAAAGGCGUAGUCGAUGGGAAACAGGUUAAUAUUCCUGUACUUGGUGUUACUGCGAAGGGGGGACGGAGAAGGCUAUGUUAGCCGGGCGACGGUUGUCCCGGUUUAAGCAUGUAGGCUGAUUGUCCAGGCAAAUCCGGAUAAUCAAGGCUGAGGUGUGAUGACGAGGCACUACGGUGCUGAAGUAACAAAUGCCCUGCUUCCAGGAAAAGCCUCUAAGCAUCAGGUAACAUUAAAUCGUACCCCAAACCGACACAGGUGGUCAGGUAGAGAAUACCAAGGCGCUUGAGAGAACUCGGGUGAAGGAACUAGGCAAAAUGGUGCCGUAACUUCGGGAGAAGGCACGCUGGUGUGUAGGUGAAGUCCCUGCGGAUGGAGCUGAGACCAGUCGAAGAUACCAGCUGGCUGCAACUGUUUAUUAAAAACACAGCACUGUGCAAACACGAAAGUGGACGUAUACGGUGUGACGCCUGCCCGGUGCCGGAAGGUUAAUUGAUGGGGUUAUCCGUAAGGAGAAGCUCUUGAUCGAAGCCCCGGUAAACGGCGGCCGUAACUAUAACGGUCCUAAGGUAGCGAAAUUCCUUGUCGGGUAAGUUCCGACCUGCACGAAUGGCGUAAUGAUGGCCAGGCUGUCUCCACCCGAGACUCAGUGAAAUUGAACUCGCUGUGAAGAUGCAGUGUACCCGCGGCAAGACGGAAAGACCCCGUGAACCUUUACUAUAGCUUGACACUGAACAUUGAGCCUUGAUGUGUAGGAUAGGUGGGAGGCUUUGAAGCGUGGACGCCAGUCUGCGUGGAGCCAACCUUGAAAUACCACCCUUUAAUGUUUGAUGUUCUAACGUUGGCCCCUUACCGGGGUUGCGGACAGUGUCUGGUGGGUAGUUUGACUGGGGCGGUCUCCUCCCAAAGCGUAACGGAGGAGCACGAAGGUUAGCUAAUCCUGGUCGGACAUCAGGAGGUUAGUGCAAUGGCAUAAGCUAGCUUGACUGCGAGCGUGACGGCGCGAGCAGGUGCGAAAGCAGGUCAUAGUGAUCCGGUGGUUCUGAAUGGAAGGGCCAUCGCUCAACGGAUAAAAGGUACUCCGGGGAUAACAGGCUGAUACCGCCCAAGAGUUCAUAUCGACGGCGGUGUUUGGCACCUCGAUGUCGGCUCAUCACAUCCUGGGGCUGAAGUAGGUCCCAAGGGUAUGGCUGUUCGCCAUUUAAAGUGGUACGCGAGCUGGGUUUAGAACGUCGUGAGACAGUUCGGUCCCUAUCUGCCGUGGGCGCUGGAGAAUUGAGGGGGGCUGCUCCUAGUACGAGAGGACCGGAGUGGACGCAUCACUGGUGUUCGGGUUGUCAUGCCAAUGGCACUGCCCGGUAGCUAAAUGCGGAAGAGAUAAGUGCUGAAAGCAUCUAAGCACGAAACUUGCCCCGAGAUGAGUUCUCCCUGAGACUUUAAGUCUCCUGAAGGAACGUUGAAGACGACGACGUUGAUAGGCCGGGUGUGUAAGCGCAGCGAUGCGUUGAGCUAACCGGUACUAAUGAACCGUGAGGCUUAACCUU
RNAcentral lists this ribosomal RNA (2719 nucleotides) under Klebsiella pneumoniae. RNAcentral's name for it is "bacterial LSU rRNA". It matches the Rfam family "Bacterial large subunit ribosomal RNA". The record is from RNAcentral. Lineage: Bacteria; Pseudomonadati; Pseudomonadota; Gammaproteobacteria; Enterobacterales; Enterobacteriaceae.